GAAUCCGGUUGAUCCUGCCGGACCUGACUGCUAUCGGAUUGAUACUAAGCCAUGCGAGUCAUUGUAGCAAUACAAGGCAGACGGCUCAGUAACACGUAGUCAAUCUAACCUAUGGACGGGGAUAACCUCGGGAAACUGAGAAUAAUAUCCGAUAGGCCACUAUGCCUGGAAUGGUUUGUGGCCCAAAUGAUUUAUCGCCGUAGGAUGGGACUGCGGUCUAUCAGCUUGUUGGUGAGGUAAUGGCCCACCAAGGCUAUAACAGAUACGGGCUCUGAGAGGAGAGGCCCGGAGAUGGGUACUGAGACACGGACCCAGGCCCUAUGGGGCGCAGCAGGCGAGAAAACUUUGCAAUGUGCGAAAGCACGACAAGGUUAAUCCGAGUGUUUUCUGCUAAAGAAAUCUUUUACCGGUCUUAAAACCACCGGCGAAUAAGGGGUGGGCAAGUUCUGGUGUCAGCCGCCGCGGUAAAACCAGCACCUCAAGUGGUCAGGAGGAUUAUUGGGCCUAAAGCAUCCGUAGCCUGCCGUGUAAGUUUUCGGUUAAAUCUAUGCGCUCAACGCAUAGGCUGCCGGAAAUACUGCACGGCUAGGGAGUGGGAGAGGUAGACGGUACUCGGUAGGAAGGGGUAAAAUCCUUUGAUCUAUCGAUGACCCCCUGUGGCGAAGGCGGUCUACUAGAACACGUCCGACGGUGAGGGAUGAAAGCUGGGGGAGCAAACCGGAUUAGAUACCCGGGUAGUCCCAGCUGUAAACAAUGCAAACUCAGUGAUGCAUUGGUGUAAGAGCCAGUGCAGUGCCGCAGGGAAGCCGUUAAGUUUGCCGCCUGGGAAGUACGUACGCAAGUAUGAAACUUAAAGGAAUUGGCGGGGGAGCACCACAAGGGGUGAAGCUGCGGUUCAAUUGGAGUCAACGCG
RNAcentral lists this ribosomal RNA (913 nucleotides) under uncultured archaeon. RNAcentral's name for it is "bacterial SSU rRNA". It matches the Rfam family "Archaeal small subunit ribosomal RNA", at positions 1 to 919 of the family's 1478-position model. The record is from RNAcentral.